AGUUGAGCGGAGAUAUAUGGAGCUUGCUUUAUAUAACUUAGCAGCGAACGUGUGAGUAACACGUAGAUAAUCUAUCCUAUACUGGGGGAUAGCCCGAUGAAAGUUGGAUUAAUACCGCAUAUAGCUAUAUAGUUGCAUGAUUAUGUAGUGAAAGAUUUAUUGGUAUAGGAGGAGUCUGCGGCACAUUAGCUAGUAGGUGAGGUAAAGGCUUACCUAGGCGACGAUGUGUAGCCGGUCUGAGAGGAUGAACGGCCACAAUGGAACUGAGACACGGUCCAUACUCCUACGGGAGGCAGCAGUGGGGAAUAUUGCACAAUGGGGGAAACCCUGAUGCAGCAACGCCGCGUGAGUGAAGAAGGUUUUCGGAUUGUAAAGCUCUGUUAGCAGGGAAGAGGAAGGACGGUACCUGCAGAGGAAGCCACGGCUAACUACGUGCCAGCAGCCGCGGUAAUACGUAGGUGGCAAGCGUUGUUCGGAAUAACUGGGCGUAAAGGAUGCGUAGGCGGUUAAACAAGUUAUAUGUUAAAUAUAUAGGCUUAACCUGUAGAAAGCAUAUAAAACUGUUUAACUAGAGUGCAGGAGAGGUAAGUGGAAUUCCUAGUGUAGCGGUGAAAUGCGUAGAGAUUAGGAAGAACACCAGUGGCGAAGGCGACUUACUGGACUGUAACUGACGCUGAGGCAUGAGAGCAUGGGGAGCAAACAGGAUUAGAUACCCUGGUAGUCCAUGCUGUAAACGAUGGGUACUAGGUGUGGGUUGUGAAUAACAAUUCGUGCCGUCGCAAACGCAAUAAGUACCCCGCCUGA
RNAcentral lists this ribosomal RNA (804 nucleotides) under uncultured bacterium. RNAcentral's name for it is "bacterial SSU rRNA". It matches the Rfam family "Bacterial small subunit ribosomal RNA", at positions 60 to 876 of the family's 1533-position model. The record is from RNAcentral.